This 420-nucleotide ribosomal RNA is filed under the name Fusobacteriota bacterium. RNAcentral's name for it is "Fusobacteria bacterium partial 16S ribosomal RNA". It matches the Rfam family "Bacterial small subunit ribosomal RNA", at positions 355 to 776 of the family's 1533-position model. Lineage: Bacteria; Fusobacteriati; Fusobacteriota. The record is from RNAcentral.
UGGGGGAUAUUGCACAAUGGGCGAAAGCCUGAUGCAGCGACGCCGCGUGGGGGAUGAAGGCCUUCGGGUUGUAAACUUCUUUUGCUCUGAACAAGGCAUGCCUUUGGGGUGUGUUGAGUGUAGGGGUUGAUUAGCGCCGGCUAACUACGUGCCAGCAGCCGCGGUAAUACGUAGGGCGCGAGCGUUGUCCGGAAUUAUUGGGCGUAAAGGGCUUGUAGGUGGCUGGUUGCGUCUGUCGUGAAAGCUCAUGGCUUAACUGGGGGUUUGCGGUGGGUACGGGCUGGCUGGAGUGCAGUAGGGGGGGCUGGAAUUCCUGGUGUAGCGGUGGAAUGCGCAGAUAUCAGGAGGAAUACCGGUGGCGAAGGCGGGUCUCUGGGCUGUUACUGACGCUGAGGAGCGAAAGCGUGGGGAGCGAACAGG